GUGAAGAGACAUGAGAGGUGUAGAGUAAGUGGGAGGCCCCCGGCGGGCCUCCGGUGAAAUACCACCACUCUCAUCGUUUUUUCAC
RNAcentral lists this non-coding RNA (85 nucleotides) under Neotoma lepida (desert woodrat). RNAcentral describes it as "Eukaryotic large subunit ribosomal RNA". It matches the Rfam family "Eukaryotic large subunit ribosomal RNA", at positions 2441 to 2520 of the family's 3401-position model. Lineage: Eukaryota; Metazoa; Chordata; Mammalia; Rodentia; Cricetidae. The record is from Rfam by way of RNAcentral.